This 104-nucleotide microRNA precursor is filed under the name Marmota monax (woodchuck). The record is from RNAcentral. Lineage: Eukaryota; Metazoa; Chordata; Mammalia; Rodentia; Sciuridae.
AGUGGCAUAACUGGGUCAAAUGGUGGUUCCAUUCCACAUUUUCUGAGGAAUCUCCAUACUGCUCUCCAUAGUGGUUAACACCAAUUUGCAGUCCCACCAGCAAU